This 1287-nucleotide long non-coding RNA is filed under the name Pan troglodytes (chimpanzee). RNAcentral's name for it is "long non-coding RNA NONPTRT012110". The record is from RNAcentral. Lineage: Eukaryota; Metazoa; Chordata; Mammalia; Primates; Hominidae.
CCCAGCUCUAACCCCUCUUUAAUGGGAGGCUCUUUUUUUGGAAGGGCAGUGCUAGACAGGUAUGGGUCAGUUCUCUUCUGAUAGUCCCAGAGUCUACAGCGAACCAAAGAUGAAAGCUCUGAAGGAGAGACACCAGUACUCACAGGUCUCAUGUCCAUGCUCCGUCCAAGGGGACCUAGCUACUUCCUUACCCCUUCUCAGUUUCAGGAGAAGAAAAGUGUUGGGAGAUUGGUGAAGACCCUUUCCCACCAAUUGCUGUGGUGAACCCUCCAGCAAGGGCAUGGCUACUUUCAGGAAAGCAAAGAGGGUCCUCUGCUUCUCUAUCCUUCCCAAAAAACAUGGGCUGGGGGUAACCCUAAAGAGCAGCCAUGGAGGACUGUGGGAAGGACUCAGCCUUGCUGUAGAAGCUCUCUGCAAAGCAAGAGGCAGGGUAUGGUAACAUGCCAAUUCCUGGUUAAAUUGGACUUGAUAGGUGAAAGAUGUCAGGCUGUGUGUGGUCACAUUGUACAUAUGCAUGCCUGGGGGUUACCAGGCUGUAUGCAAAUGUACAAGGAAGAGGUAGGCUCUGAGAACCUGCCAGGGCCCCUGGGAUGAGCUGUGGAUUUUUGCCCCUGAUCCCAUGACAAAGUCCUCAGCUCAGCUUCCCUGAGUCCACAGAGGGUUGCCUCAGACGAACUGGGAUCUGAAGUCCUGAGAAAGCACCAGCUUCCACCACUCCCAAGUCCUGGAGGGUAUCCAGUAACUGCUCCCGGGCAGCACCAAUAAAGCAAUUCUCCAGAAAGAUGGGCAGGCCUCCCACACCAUCACGCAGGGUAUACAUGGGCACUCGCACCAGGCCCAGCACCUGUAAAAGGAAGGAGACAGGAGACACUGGGACUCCAGGUAGCUCAUGUCACUACCUCCAUCCUCUCUUUAGCAGAUCUUUCUAGAGCAGAUGCCGCAACUCUUAAUACUCCAGCAGAAACAAGCCCAAGGCUCCUAUAUAAAGGAGGCCCAGUGGGCUCAACCCUCUGCAGACAAAUGACCCAAGACAUGCUAUCCAGCUCCAUCAAUGUUAGCCUUAUGACUUCUGUCCCCUAAACCUCUAGUGGCUCCUAACGCCAAAAUUCAUGCUUAGCCCUGCAACAAUGGUUCUCAAAAUGGGAAACCUAGACCACCGUUAUCAGCAUCACUUGGGAACUUUUGAAAAAAGCAAUCUCAGAUUUCUGAACCCCUGCCCUCCCAGAACUUGGGAGUGGUGGAAGCUGGUGCUUUCUCACCCACAACCAGCGUUCUGGGAGUAGAAUC